GACGAACGCUGGCGGCGUGCCUAAUACAUGCAAGUAGAACGCACAGUUUAUACCGUAGCUUGCUACACCAUAGACUGUGAGUUGCGAACGGGUGAGUAACGCGUAGGUAACCUGCCUGGUAGCGGGGGAUAACUAUUGGAAACGAUAGCUAAUACCGCAUAAUAUUAAUUAUUGCAUGAUAAUUAAUUGAAAGGUGCAAUUGCACCACUACCAGAUGGACCUGUGUUGUAUUAGCUAGUAGGUGAGGUAACGGCUCACCUAGGCGACGAUACAUAGCCGACCUGAGAGGGGGAUCGGCCACACUGGGACUGAGACACGGCCCAGACUCCUACGGGAGGCAGCAGUAGGGAAUCUUCGGCAAUGGACGAAAGUCUGACCGAGCAACGCCGCGGGAGUGAAGAAGGGUUUCGGAUCGGAAAGCUCUGUUGUAAGGGAAGAACGGGUGUGAGAGUGGAAAGUUCACACUGUGACGGUAUCUUACCAGAAAGGGACGGCUAACUACGUG
Molecule: ribosomal RNA, 505 nt
Filed under: uncultured bacterium
Lineage: Bacteria
Description: partial 16S ribosomal RNA
Rfam family: Bacterial small subunit ribosomal RNA
Source: RNAcentral